Long non-coding RNA from Eleginops maclovinus (Patagonian blennie), 704 nucleotides. RefSeq lists it as uncharacterized. NCBI's taxonomy places the organism in Eukaryota, Metazoa, Chordata, Actinopteri, Perciformes, Eleginopidae. The transcript has 3 exons. The record is from RefSeq and is a predicted model, not a curated record.
GGCGUCUCGUCGAGACUGAAUCAGUCACUUCGGUAGAGAGAUGUGCCCUAAAGACUCCUCCGAUUGAGGCUUUCUUUCCCGGAUUUGAACCUAUGAUUUUAACAUAUCACCAUUUGUGUAUUUAAAAGCAACAACAACAACAACAACAACAACAACAACAACAACAACGGGAGGAAUCACAAACACAUCACUCUGAGGCUCCUGUUUUAAGGGAUGAGCUGCAGCAGAAUAAAUGAACCCUGAAGACAGACGGGAUGUAGGCUGUUCUUUCUGAAAGCGUUUUCAGACAACUCUGGAGGACUGGAUCCGCUGGGGAAGGAGCUGCCAUCCACACAGGACCCCCCGUGGUGCUGGAGAAGCAGAACAGCAUCAGAGACAUCAUCCACCCAGACCUCUGCUUCCUGUGGCUGAACAGCAGCUCAGGAGCUUCAGAGAAACAGAGUGUUCAACAGAGACUGAAGCUUCAGAGAAACAGAGUGUUCAACAGAGACUGAAGCUUCAGAGAAACAGAGUGUUCAACAGAGACUGAAGCUUCAGAGAAACAGAGCUGUUCAACAGAGACUGAAGCUUCAGAGAAACAGAGUGUUCAACAGAGACUGAAGCUUCAGAGAAACAGAGUGUUCAACAGAGACUGAAGCUUCAGAGAAACAGAGUGUUCAACAGAGACUGAAGCUUCAGAGAAACAGAGUGUUCAACAGAGGCUG